CAGGGAUUAUUAACUUUUUAGUGCAUAACAUAAAGUAACUGUUCGCAUUUGUUUGUAUGUAACGUUAUAAAACAUUUUUGUAAACUCUCCUUGCAUUAGCUGGGCAUCGUCACAAAGUUGAAAACGUGUCUUUCUGAACUCACAAAUGUGAUAUCACCUGUUUAAGUGCACAAGUGGAAUCAAAAUGUGGCAGGACUACAUGGCACAUUUUUAUUUUUUUAUUUUUCCACCUCUGUUGUAUACUACAGUAUAUAAACAAAACGAAUAGUAACUGAAAUUACUGAGAAAUAGCAUGCUUCUGCACCAUCAGUACUUUUACUUUUGGUACUUGAGUAUAUUUUGCUUCUAACAUAACAUACUAAAUUACUUCAGUGUCUUGAUUUAGCCACUUUCACUUAAGUACGUUUUUGAAUGACAGGGGACUUUAACCUGUAGUGCAGUAUUUUCGUAGUCAUUAUUACUUCUUCUACAUAAGUAAGGCCUCAUUUACACUACCUGGUGCAAGUGGCCAUUUUACCUGUAAGCAAAGACAAUCUAAUUUUGCAGGCUGUAUACAUUAAUUUGAAUUGAAGUUCAUGUACUAUAAUUUAAACAUGAUGCAUUUUAUAUCCUUUUUAGAUGAGGUCCACAUGAAAAAUUACAUUGCAUUUGAAGGAAGAAGAGCAGCAGGCUGAGGUCUCAGUCAGACCUGCCGACGUGGACACACCAGUGGAAGGGGACUCGGUUGAAAAUCGCGUUCUUCGCGACUGCAGAUAUGCAGCAGAGUGGGUUGGGGCCAACAAACAACUGUUCUCUGCCAAAGUGGACCUGCCUGAUGUUCUGUACAUGGGGGAGGAGAACCAGGCUGAGGCUGCUCUGCAGUAUGGGAGGGUGAGAGAUUUUAUUUUGAAAUAAAUAAUAAUAAUACAUUUCAAAAUAAAAUCGCAAAUGCACUUCCGGGUUGAAUCGCUUUCCUUACAAAUGCAUUAAUUAGUAAAC
Molecule: long non-coding RNA, 978 nt
Filed under: Dicentrarchus labrax (European seabass)
Lineage: Eukaryota; Metazoa; Chordata; Actinopteri; Moronidae
Description: lncRNA (ENSDLAG00005028482.1)
Source: RNAcentral